ACAAGCAAUGGAUUGUCAUAAAUAAACGAUCUACUGCCGUUCUCCACUGGGCCAUACCAAAACAUGAACAAAAAAUGCUACGAUCAAGCAGUAGCAAGUCAGAGAUAAUAAAACUGAAACAAAGUAAGCUUUCACCUAAAAUUGGUUCACAAUAUUGUUCAUACAAUUCCAUCCUAGAAAAGUUUAGGAACUAUGAAA
This is a long non-coding RNA of Daphnia carinata, 198 nucleotides long. RefSeq lists it as uncharacterized. NCBI's taxonomy places the organism in Eukaryota, Metazoa, Arthropoda, Branchiopoda, Diplostraca, Daphniidae. The record is from RefSeq and is a predicted model, not a curated record. The transcript has 2 exons.